GAGUUUGAUCGUGGCUCAGAUUGAACGCUGGCGGCAUGCCUUACACAUGCAAGUCGAACGGCAGCAUGAUCUAGCUUGCUAGAUUGAUGGCGAGUGGCGAACGGGUGAGUAAUACAUCGGAACGUGCCCUGUAGUGGGGAUAACUAGUCGAAAGAUUAGCUAAUACCGCAUACGACCUGAGGGUGAAAGUGGGGGACCGCAAGGCCUCAUGCUAUAGGAGCGGCCGAUGUCUGAUUGGCUAGUUGGUGGGUAAAGGCCCACCAAGGCGACGAUCAGUAGCUGGUCUGAGAGGACGAUCAGCCACACUGGGACUGAAACACGGCCCAGACUCCUACGGGAGGCGAGCAGUGGGGAAUUUUGGACGAAUGGGCGAAAGCCUGAUCCAGCAAUGCCGCGUGUGUGAAGAAGGCCUCGGUUGUAAGU
RNAcentral lists this ribosomal RNA (423 nucleotides) under uncultured microorganism. Its description in RNAcentral is "bacterial SSU rRNA". It matches the Rfam family "Bacterial small subunit ribosomal RNA", at positions 9 to 430 of the family's 1533-position model. The record is from RNAcentral.